RNAcentral lists this ribosomal RNA (250 nucleotides) under uncultured bacterium. RNAcentral's name for it is "partial 16S ribosomal RNA". It matches the Rfam family "Bacterial small subunit ribosomal RNA", at positions 524 to 773 of the family's 1533-position model. The record is from RNAcentral.
UACGUAGGUGGCAAGCGUUGUCCGGAUUUACUGGGCGUAAAGGGAGCGUAGGCGGAUGUUUAAGUGGGAUGUGAAAUACUCGGGCUCAACUUGAGUGCUGCAUUCCAAACUGGAUAUCUAGAGUGCAGGAGAGGAAAGGAGAAUUCCUAGUGUAGCGGUGAAAUGCGUAGAGAUUAGGAAGAAUACCAGUGGCGAAGGCGCCUUUCUGGACUGUAACUGACGCUGAGGCUCGAAAGCGUGGGGAGCAAAC